GUACACUCCUGCGGGAGGCAGCAGUGGGGAAUAUUGAACAAUGGGCGCAAGCCUGAUCCAGCCAUGCCGCGUGAGUGAUGAAGGCCCUAGGGUUGUAAAGCUCUUUCACCGGUGAAGAUAAUGACGGUAACCGGAGAAGAAGCCCCGGCUAACUUCGUGCCAGCAGCCGCGGUAAUACGAAGGGGGCUAGCGUUGUUCGGAUUUACUGGGCGUAAAGCGCACGUAGGCGGACUAUUAAGUCAGGGGUGAAAUCCCGGGGCUCAACCCCGGAACUGCCUUUGAUACUGGUAGUCUUGAGUUCGGGAGAGGUGAGUGGAAUUCCGAGUGUAGAGGUGAAAUUCGUAGAUAUUCGGAGGAACACCAGUGGCGAAGGCGGCUCACUGGCUCGAUACUGACGCUGAGGUGCGAAAGCGUGGGGAGCAAACAGGAUUAGAUACCCCUGUAGUCCCA
Molecule: ribosomal RNA, 450 nt
Filed under: uncultured organism
Description: partial 16S ribosomal RNA
Rfam family: Bacterial small subunit ribosomal RNA
Source: RNAcentral